GGACAGAAGAAGUUCGUUUAUCGAGCUUGUCGGAGUUCUUGCUUCGUUGCGACAGUAUCGGCGACGAGAGCUAGGAAGUUGGUCAGCGGCGGUUGCGCGGCAUUUUUGGCGACCGUCGUGGAGGUGGACCGGGUGGUGCCGAAACUAGAAGAUUUAUCGGUAGUGCGGGAAUUUCCGGAUGUGUUUCCCGCGGAGCUGGCAGGGAUGCCGCCGGAU
RNAcentral lists this long non-coding RNA (216 nucleotides) under Ananas comosus (pineapple). RNAcentral describes it as "long non-coding RNA (ACOM_LNC039703)". The record is from RNAcentral. Lineage: Eukaryota; Viridiplantae; Streptophyta; Magnoliopsida; Poales; Bromeliaceae.